GGUUCUAGUAAAGCAUUAUACCGUGAAACUGCGAAUGGCUCAUUAAAUCAGUUAUCGUUUAUUUGAUAGUACCUUAUUACUUGGAUAACCCUGGUAAUUCUAGAGCUAAUACAUGCUGAAAACCCCAACUUCGGAAGGGGUGUAUUUAUUAGAUAAAAAACCAAUGCCCUCCGGGGCUCUUUGGUGAUUCACAAUAACUUCUCGGAUCGCAUGGCCUUGCGCCGGCGACGGUUCAUUCAAAUUUCUGCCCUAUCAACUUUCGAUGGUAAGGUAGUGGCUUACCAUGGUUUCAACGGGUAACGGGGAAUUAGGGUUCGAUUCCGGAGAGGGAGCCUGAGAAACGUAAGUGACCUCCUAUCAUUCUGGCCGCUGAGCAAUAUACUAACAAUUCUAUAGGGCUACCACAUCCAAGGAAGGCAGCAGGCGCGCAAAUUACACAAUCACAAUACGUGGAUGUAGUGACAAUACAUACUGAUACAGGGCUCUUUUGGGUCUUGUAAUUGGAAUGAGUACAAUUUAAACCUCUUAACGAGGAACAAUUGGAGGGCAAGUCUGGUGCCAGCAGCCGCGGUAAUUCCAGCUCCAAUAGCGUAUAUUAAAGUUGUUGCAGUUAAAAAGCUCGUAGUUGAACCUUGGGUCUGGCUGGUAGGUCCGCCUCACCGCGUGCACUUAACCGGCUGGGCCUUUUCUUCUGGAGAACCUCAUGCCCUUCACUGGGUGUGCUGGGGAACCAGGACUUUUACUUUGAAAAAAUUAGAGUGUUCAAAACAGGCCUUUGCUCGAAUACGUUAGCAUGGAAUAAUAAAAUAGGACGUGCGGUCUUAUUUUGUUGGUUUCUAAGACCGCCGUAAUGAUUAAUAGGGACAGUUAGGGGCAUCAGUAUUCAAUUGUCAGAGGUGAAAUUCUUGGAUUUAUUGAAGACUAACUACUGCGAAAGCAUUUGCCAGAGAUGUUUUCAUUAAUCAGUGAACGAAAGUUAAGGGAUCGAAAACGAUCAGAUACCGUUGUAGUCUUAACCGUAAACUAUGCCGACUAGGGAUCGGGCAGCGUUUCUAUCUUGACCUGCCCGGCACCUUACGAGAAAUCAAAGUUUUGGGUCUGGGGAAAAUCCAAAAA
RNAcentral lists this ribosomal RNA (1116 nucleotides) under Crassiparies yunnanensis. Its description in RNAcentral is "SSU rRNA". It matches the Rfam family "Eukaryotic small subunit ribosomal RNA", at positions 56 to 1131 of the family's 1831-position model. The record is from RNAcentral. Lineage: Eukaryota; Fungi; Ascomycota; Dothideomycetes; Pleosporales; Neohendersoniaceae.